AUGGCUGUCGUCAGCUCGUGCCGUGAGGUGUCAGGUUAAGUCCUAUAACGAGCGCAACCCCUAUCGUUAGUUGCCAUCAAGUAAAGUUGGGAACUCUAGCGAAACUGCCGGUGCAAACCGUGAGGAAGGUGGGGAUGACGUCAAAUCAUCACGGCCCUUACGUCCUGGGCCACACACGUGCUACAAUGGUCAGUACAGAAAGCAGCCACUAUGCGAAUAGGAGCUAAUCUUUAAAGCUGAUCUCAGUUCGGAUCGGAGUCUGCAACUCGACUCCGUGAAGCUGGAAUCGCUAGUAAUCGGAUAUCAGCCAUGAUCCGGUGAAUACGUUCCCGGGCCUUGUACACACCGCCCGUCAAGCCAUGGAAGCUGGGGGUACCUAAAGUCGGUCACCGAAAGGAGCCGCCUAGGGUAAAACUAGUAACUGGGGCUAAGUCGUAACAAGGUAGCCGUACCGGAAGGUGCGGCUGGAAUACCUCCUUUCUAGAGAAAGACGACUUUGACUAUAAGUAUCAAUCCUUUGCGUUUGCUUGCUGUCAUUUUUUAAUAAAAACCCUUAAAAUAGAAUCUCGAAUAGAGUCUCGUAGCUCAGCCGGUUAGAGCGCUACACUGAUAAUGUAGAGGUCGGCAGUUCGAGUCUGCCCGAGACUACUAAAUUCCAUUUAUGGAAAAAAGGGGGAUUAGCUCAGCUGGCUAGAGCGCCUGCCUUGCACGCAGGAGGUCAUCGGUUCGACUCCGAUAUUCUCCACAACUUCUUAAUGUAUAUUAAGAAUAAGAGUUCAUUGACAUAUUGAAAAUAUCAAGUACAAUUCAAAAUUAUUCCGUUAUCCAAUUGAAUAAUUUAUUGAGAUUGUACAGAGUUAACGUAAAUGAGUAUUUAAUAUUGUUAUUAUUAAAUACUAAAUAAUUUUACAAUUUAAGAAAGAGUUAAGAGUUACUUGUAACUUUUUAAGUUACAAUAGGCUAAUUAAGAGCGUAAGGGGAAUGCCUUGGCUCUCAGAGGCGAUGAAGGACGUGAUAAGCUGCGAUAAGCUUUGGGGAGUGGCACAAACACUUUGAUCCGAAGAUUUCCGAAUGGGGAAACCCGG
RNAcentral lists this small RNA (1085 nucleotides) under uncultured bacterium. RNAcentral's name for it is "bacterial SSU rRNA". The stretch from base 1 to 480 matches the Rfam family "Bacterial small subunit ribosomal RNA", at positions 1045 to 1533 of the family's 1533-position model. The record is from RNAcentral.